Molecule: ribosomal RNA, 301 nt
Filed under: uncultured bacterium
Lineage: Bacteria
Description: partial 16S ribosomal RNA
Rfam family: Bacterial small subunit ribosomal RNA
Source: RNAcentral
CAGCAGCCGCGGUAAGACAGAGGAUGCAAGCGUUAUCCGGAAUGAUUGGGCGUAAAGCGUCUGUAGGUGGCUUUUCAAGUCCGCCUUCAAAUCCCAGGGCUCAACCAUGGAUAGGCGGUGGAAACUACCAAGCUGGAGUACGGUAGGGGCAAAGGGAAUUUCCGGUGGAGCGGUGAAAUGCAUUGAGAUCGGAAAGAACACCAACGGCGAAAGCACUCUGCUGGGCCGACACUGACACUGAGAGACGAAAGCUAGGGGAGCAAAUGGGAUUAGAUACCCCCGUAGUCCCUGUCUCUUAUAC